AUUGAACGCUGGCGGCAUGCUUUACACAUGCAAGUCGGACGGCAGCGGGGGUGCUUGCACCUGCCGGCGAGUGGCGAACGGGUGAGUAAUAUAUUGGAACGUACCGAGUAGUGGGGGAUAACUAAGCGAAAGUUUAGCUAAUACCGCAUACGACCUGAGGGUGAAAGCGGGGGACGGGAGACUGCCUCGCGCUAUUUGAGCGGCCAAUAACUGAUUAGCUAGUUGGUGGGGUAAAGGCCUACCAAGGCGAUGAUCAGUAGCGGGUCUGAGAGGAUGAUCCGCCACACUGGGACUGAGAGACGGCCCAGACUCCUACGGGAGGCAGCAGUGGGGAAUUUUGGACAAUGGGGGCAACCCUGAUCCAGCCAUGCCGCGUGUCUGAAGAAGGCCUUCGGGUUGUAAAGGACUUUUGUUAGGGAAGAAAAGGGAAGUGCUAAUAUCACUUUUUGCUGACGGUACCUAAAGAAUAAGCACCGGCUAACUACGUGCCAGCAGCCGCGGUAAUACGUAGGGUGCGAGCGUUAAUCGGAAUUACUGGGCGUAAAGCGAGCGCAGACGGUUAUUUAAGUCAGAUGUGAAAUCCCCGAGCUUAACUUGGGAACUGCGUUUGAAACUGGGUAACUAGAGUAUGUCAGAGGGGGGUAGAAUUCCACGUGUAGCAGUGAAAUGCGUAGAGAUGUGGAGGAAUACCGAUGGCGAACGCGCCCCCCUGGGAUAAUACUGACGUUCAUGCUCGAAAGCGUGGGGUAGCAACAGGAUCAGAUACCCUGGUAGUCCAAGGGCGAAUCCACAGUGGGUAUCAGCUAUCGAUACCGUCUACCUCGAGGGGGGGGCCCGGUUACUCCACUUUUGUUCCCUUUAGUGAGGGUUGAUUAUAUA
RNAcentral lists this ribosomal RNA (879 nucleotides) under uncultured Kingella sp. Its description in RNAcentral is "bacterial SSU rRNA". It matches the Rfam family "Bacterial small subunit ribosomal RNA", at positions 28 to 854 of the family's 1533-position model. Lineage: Bacteria; Pseudomonadati; Pseudomonadota; Betaproteobacteria; Neisseriales; Neisseriaceae. The record is from RNAcentral.